This 2000-nucleotide long non-coding RNA is filed under the name Homo sapiens (human). RNAcentral's name for it is "HSALNT0370674". The record is from RNAcentral. Lineage: Eukaryota; Metazoa; Chordata; Mammalia; Primates; Hominidae.
CACUGUUUCUAUCAUUUUCUCUCCAUCUAGCCAUUGAUCUCUGAUUCCCCUGCUCCGCUUCUCUGUCUCUCAUCCCUGUCACCACCUCCCUCUCUGUCACUUUCUUAUUCUCUCCCUGCCUCUUUGCACGCUCUUUGCACAUCAGGCCCGGCCCCAGCCCAGGGUCUCUGGGCUCCAGGAAGCCAGCCAGGGGCUGUGCGGGCUGCGCUGUAACUCAGGAACUCCGCCAGCAAUCAUUUCAUUAGGCAGGAAUGGCGUUCCCAUUACCAGAUAGCAGGCCUGCUUCUUCCCCGCCAUGGCCCCCUCCCCGCUGCAAAGCCCCCUUGCAACUUCCUGCUCGCAGCAGCCACACAAGGCCUCAUUCUAAUCCUCCAACUUGUCUGUUUAGUGUCUUUGGAGAGGGGAAAGGAGCAGAAAAGUAGCUUGUCUUUUAUUUUUAUUUGCCUUCUUUUUUUUCCUUCCUCCAGAUAUCCCCCUGGGGCACCGGCCUAGAACAGAGCAACAAAUAUUUACUAAUUCCAUUAACAGAAGAGAGUUGGAAUUUUUUUUUCCCAAGCGAAUAUCCGAGGCCCCAAGUUCAUGUAGCCACCCAAAGUUACACUUUGGUUCACCAAGACGAAGACUCAUCCUUCCUCUCUCUAUGGAUCUUUCAGAUGAAGAAAUUAAGGCUCAGGAGGGAGGAAAAAAAUAAAAGAAAGAAUUGUCCAAGGUCACCAAGGCAUCUGGACUCCCAUAUGUUGAGCUACUUCUGCUUGUGGGGCAGCUGCAAUACAUGAAUUCUUCACUACCAACUUAAUAUAAGCUAAGGAAUGCAAAAGAUUGCCAGCAAAUGACCAGAAGCUAGAGGGGAGGCAUGGAACAGAUCUUCUCUCACAGCCUCAGAAGGAACUAGCCCUACUGACAGCUCGAUCUCAGACUUCUAGACUCCAGACUGGUGAGACAACAUAUUUCUGUUGUUUAAGCCACCCAGUUUGUGGCAAUUUGUUACGGCAGACCAGCAAAUGAAUACAGGAUCUCUACAAAAUACACUCACCUUUCAGGCAGGCCAAGAGGAUUGUUUACUGUCAGAGCUCCAAGCCCGGAACUUACUCACACACCAAAAAAGGGGCAUGGAAGUGGGAGCAAGGAUGGAGUCACGAUCCCAAAGUCCCGGAGCAUCUUCUCCACACAUUCAUGAGAGUCAGGCACAGGUUUUUAUCUCAUGCCCACAUUCAGGGGGCCAUCAUCCUGAGCCUGCACCCCCAGAGAAAGUGAGGCCCAGGAAUUUGUGAGUUUGUUGUUGCUUGUGUUACCGAAUAUCCAUGAACUGCAAAAUGGCACCAUGACCUAAUGAAGUAUUAACCCUGCCUCAUCACUGCACAUCAACCAUGAAAGCAGGCUCUUCUUGGCCAGGGCUGUUUCAAGGAGAUUUAGGAAUAUAUUUGAGGCUUCUGAAGGAUAGUUGGAAAUUAGGGGGUCUGCAAAUGGACCUCCAAGAACUCAGGACAGGGGACAUGGACCAGAAGCACCCCCUGAUCUGCCUGGGGUCUCCAACAUACUGUUCUUCCCUCCCACCCCUUUCAAGGGCUAUCCAACGUUGGAAAGAAUAAAAACUCAGAGUCAAUAGAUCUGGGUUUACAUCACAGCUUUACUCAUGAGACAUGAGACAAAUGACUUAGUCCUUCUGAGCCUCAGUUUUCUCCUCUGUAAAAUGGGAAUAAUCAUUGUAGAUGCUUCACAGAGUUGUGAAAACAUAAUGGGUAUCUAUCUAUCUAUCUAUCUAUCUAUCUAUCUAUCUAUCUGGAAUGAAAAUGCACCUGGCUCAUAGUAGACACUUGUUAACUCGAAGCUGCUUUAUUUUUGUUGUUGAUUUCUUAUUGUGAUUUUUUGUGACAUUAAAAGGCAAAGUUUACUUUCAGAGCUCCAAGCCCGAACUAACUCACCCACCAAAAAAGGGGCACGGAGGUGGGAGGGAGGAUGGGGGUAAAACUAAUAGUUGUCAGCCUGAUCCCAUUGAUCUC